UAAAAUACCAUUCGUUAUUAUUAACGACUCACUUUAUUUACCAGCAGGUGGUGACUGGUCAACGUAAUGAGAGACCUAACUUGAAAGGGAUCUCUGAUGGAUGCCAGAAGAAAUCAUGGGUGUUACCCGGCAAAGCUGUAGCAUCUAUUCAGCCACAAGGACCAAGUGUAGGCAGUGAAAGUGAUAUGUUGCAAGUUCCUUUUGCACAAGGUGGGAACCCAGGAUAUUGUCAAGUCCAGGUCCUCGUGGCUGAACAAUUCGAAGGAGAAUUUAACCAACUCCAAGAUGCUGUU
This is a long non-coding RNA of Stylophora pistillata, 293 nucleotides long. Lineage: Eukaryota; Metazoa; Cnidaria; Anthozoa; Scleractinia; Pocilloporidae. The record is from RefSeq and is a predicted model, not a curated record.